UAAUACGUAGGGUCCAAGCGUUAUUCGGAAUUACUGGGCGUAAAGCGUUCGUAGGCGGUUUGGUAAGUUGGAUGUGAAAUCCUGUGGCUCAACCACAUGGACUGUGUCCAAACUACCUGACUAGAGCAUAGUAGAGGCAAGUGGAAUUUGCGGUGUAGGAGUGACAUCCGUAGAUAUCGCAAGGAACACCAAUGGCGAAGGCAGCUUGCUGGGCUAUUGCUGACGCUCAGGAACGAAAGCGUGGGAGCGAACGGGAUUAGAUACCCCCGGUAGUCCACGCCGUAAACGAUGAUCACUAGCAGUAUGGAGAUUCGACCCUCUGUGUUGCACAGCUAACGCGUUAAGUGAUCCGCCUGGGGAGUACGGGCGCAAGCUUAAAACUCAAAGGAAUUGACGGGGACCCGCACAAGCAGUGGAGGAUGUGGUUUAAUUCGACGCUAAGCGAAGAACCUUACCGAGGUUUGACAUCCCAGGAAGUUUGGGAAACCAAUUCGUGCCUUCGGGAACCUGGUGAC
This 515-nucleotide ribosomal RNA is filed under the name uncultured Thioprofundum sp. RNAcentral describes it as "bacterial SSU rRNA". It matches the Rfam family "Bacterial small subunit ribosomal RNA", at positions 521 to 1035 of the family's 1533-position model. The record is from RNAcentral. Lineage: Bacteria; Pseudomonadati; Pseudomonadota; Gammaproteobacteria; Chromatiales; Thioprofundaceae.